CAAUCAAUUCAUGAUCAUUAUCUGAUAAUAAUUAAGGAUUUGGAUGAGCUUAAGAAGUUUAGUAGGUCCAAACAUAAAAAAUUAUGAAUGGAUUUGAUUCUGCAAUUCCUUACUAAUUCAUAUGAAAGUUUAUAGAAAACUACCACAUAAAUAAAAUUAAUUGCACCUUGGUUGAGUUGGUGACCACUGAUGGGACCUUAAAGAGUUCAAGGAGAAGGAUUCCUGUAUACCUGAUGAAUCCAGAGAAAAGGAUAAGGGACAUGCUUUUAGAAGGUAUGUUGGAUCUACUCGAUAUUAGUAUUUGAGC
Molecule: long non-coding RNA, 307 nt
Filed under: Elaeis guineensis (African oil palm)
Lineage: Eukaryota; Viridiplantae; Streptophyta; Magnoliopsida; Arecales; Arecaceae
Description: long non-coding RNA (EGUI_LNC061624)
Source: RNAcentral